This 415-nucleotide ribosomal RNA is filed under the name uncultured bacterium. RNAcentral's name for it is "bacterial SSU rRNA". It matches the Rfam family "Bacterial small subunit ribosomal RNA", at positions 28 to 432 of the family's 1533-position model. The record is from RNAcentral.
AGCGAACGUUAGCGGCGCGCCUAACACAUGCAAGUCGCACGAGAAAGGGGGCAACCCCCGGUACAGUGGCGCACGGGUGAGUAACACGUGGGUGAUCUGCCCAGAAGAAGGGGAUAACCUCUCGAAAGGGGGGCUAAUACCGCAUAGGACCACCGGGGCUUUGGCUCUGUGGUGAAAGGGGGCCUCUGUUUACAAGCUCCUGCUUCUGGAUGUGCCCGCGUCCCAUCAGCUAGUUGGUAGGGUAAUGGCCUACCAAGGCUACGACGGGUAGCUGGUCUAAGAGGAUGGCCAGCCACACUGGAACUGAGACACGGUCCAGACUCCUACGGGAGGCAGCAGUGGGGAAUCUUGCGCAAUGGGCGAAAGCCUGACGCAGCGACGCCGCGUGGGUGACGAAGGCCUCGGUUGUAAGCCU